RNAcentral lists this ribosomal RNA (508 nucleotides) under Pseudoselenomonas ruminantium. Its description in RNAcentral is "bacterial SSU rRNA". It matches the Rfam family "Bacterial small subunit ribosomal RNA", at positions 102 to 586 of the family's 1533-position model. The record is from RNAcentral. Lineage: Bacteria; Bacillati; Bacillota; Negativicutes; Selenomonadales; Selenomonadaceae.
ACGGGUGAGUAACGCGUAUACAACCUGCCCCACAGAUAGGGACACCACUCCCAAAGGACUGCUCAUACCCAAAGUUGUCUCUUUCUCCCACGAGAGACUGAUAAAAGAUGGCCUCUACUUGUGAGCUAUCGCUUUGCGAUGGGUCUGCGUCUGAUUAUCUCGUUGGUGGGGUAACGGCCUACCACGGCGACAAUAAGUAGCCGGUCUGAGAGGAUGAAAGGCCACAUUGGAACUGAGACACGGUCCACACACCCACAGGAGGCGGCACUGGGGAAUCUUCCCCAAUGGGCGAAAACCUGACAGAGCACCGCCCCGCGAGUGAAAAAAGGUUUCGGCUCUCAUAGCUCUCUUUACAGGGACAAAAGUGCGAGAUGCGAAUAGUUUCUUGCGAUGACAGUGCCCGUCUAGGAAACCCCGGCUAAAUACAUGCCACCACCCGCGGUAAUACAUAUGUGGCGAGAGUUGUCCGGAAUUAUUGGGCGUAAAGGGAGCGCACGCGGGAAGGCGA